CAGGUGAGGGGCUUCUGGCGGUGGCGGUGGGAUUUGAACCCACGGACGGGGGUUACCCGUCACGCGCUUUCGAGGCGCGCUCCUUCGGCC
Molecule: transfer RNA, 90 nt
Filed under: Rhodococcus rhodochrous
Lineage: Bacteria; Bacillati; Actinomycetota; Actinomycetes; Mycobacteriales; Nocardiaceae
Also listed under: 1 other name
Description: tRNA-Gln(ttg)
Source: RNAcentral